Molecule: ribosomal RNA, 384 nt
Filed under: Escherichia coli
Lineage: Bacteria; Pseudomonadati; Pseudomonadota; Gammaproteobacteria; Enterobacterales; Enterobacteriaceae
Description: partial 23S ribosomal RNA
Rfam family: Bacterial large subunit ribosomal RNA
Source: RNAcentral
AGUGAUCCGGUGGUUCUGAAUGGAAGGGCCAUCGCUCAACGGAUAAAAGGUACUCCGGGGAUAACAGGCUGAUACCGCCCAAGAGUUCAUAUCGACGGCGGUGUUUGGCACCUCGAUGUCGGCUCAUCACAUCCUGGGGCUGAAGUAGGUCCCAAGGGUAUGGCUGUUCGCCAUUUAAAGUGGUACGCGAGCUGGGUUUAGAACGUCGUGAGACAGUUCGGUCCCUAUCUGCCGUGGGCGCUGGAGAACUGAGGGGGGCUGCUCCUAGUACGAGAGGACCGGAGUGGACGCAUCACUGGUGUUCGGGUUGUCAUGCCAAUGGCACUGCCCGGUAGCUAAAUGCGGAAGAGAUAAGUGCUGAAAGCAUCUAAGCACGAAACUUGC